CAUUACUGAGUUUACGCUCUACAACCCUUUGUGAACAUACCUAUAACUGUUGCUUCGGCGGGUAGGGUCUCCGCGACCCUCCCGGCCUCCCGCCUCCGGGCGGGUCGGCGCCCGCCGGAGGAUAACCAAACUCUGAUUUAACGACGUUUCUUCUGAGUGGUACAAGCAAAUAAUCAAAACUUUUAACAACGGAUCUCUUGGUUCUGGCAUCGAUGAAGAACGCAGCGAAAUGCGAUAAGUAAUGUGAAUUGCAGAAUUCAGUGAAUCAUCGAAUCUUUGAACGCACAUUGCGCCCGCCAGCAUUCUGGCGGGCAUGCCUGUUCGAGCGUCAUUUCAACCCUCAAGCUCUGCUUGGUGUUGGGGCCCUACAGCUGAUGUAGGCCCUCAAAGGUAGUGGCGGACCCUCUCGGAGCCUCCUUUGCGUAGUAACUUUACGUCUCGCACUGGGAUCCGGAGGGACUCUUGCCGUAAAACCCCCAAUUUUCCAAAGGUUGACCUCGGAUCAGGUAGGAAUACCCGC
RNAcentral lists this ribosomal RNA (520 nucleotides) under Colletotrichum gloeosporioides. RNAcentral's name for it is "eukaryotic LSU rRNA". The stretch from base 178 to 331 matches the Rfam family "5.8S ribosomal RNA". The record is from RNAcentral. Lineage: Eukaryota; Fungi; Ascomycota; Sordariomycetes; Glomerellales; Glomerellaceae.